ACAGGUGCCUGUGUUUCAUUCCACAGGAGAAUAGGGAAGAGAGGUGAGAUUCCUCCGCGGUCACGCCGCUGUGUAUGCUGAGCCAGCUUUCAUGUUGUCACUGGAUUUUUAUCCGGGAAGACGAAAGCCGGCGGUGAAGCUGAGCCAGAAGACCUGCCUGAACGU
Molecule: non-coding RNA, 165 nt
Filed under: uncultured Eubacterium sp.
Lineage: Bacteria; Bacillati; Bacillota; Clostridia; Eubacteriales; Eubacteriaceae
Source: RNAcentral